AACGAACGCUGGCGGCAUGCCUAACACAUGCAAGUCGAACGAGACCUUCGGGUCUAGUGGCGCACGGGUGCGUAACGCGUGGGAACCUGCCCUUAGGUUCGGAAUAACUCCCCGAAAGGGGUGCUAAUACCGGAUAAUGUCUUCGGACCAAAGAUUUAUCGCCUUUGGAUGGGCCCGCGGUGGAUUAGCUAGUUGGUAGGGUAAAAGCCUACCAAGGCGACGAUCCAUAGCUGGUCUGAGAGGAUGAUCAGCCACACUGGGACUGAGACACGGCCCAGACUGCUACGGGAGGCAGCGGUGGGGAAUAUUGGACAAUGGGCGAGAGCCUGAGCCAGCGAUGCCGCGUGAGUGAUGAAGGCCUUAGGGUUGUAAAGCUCUUUUACCCGGGAUGAUAAUGACAGUACCGGGAGAAUAAGCUCCGGCUAACUCCGUG
Molecule: ribosomal RNA, 433 nt
Filed under: uncultured bacterium
Lineage: Bacteria
Description: partial 16S ribosomal RNA
Rfam family: Bacterial small subunit ribosomal RNA
Source: RNAcentral